Long non-coding RNA from Perognathus longimembris pacificus (Pacific pocket mouse), 859 nucleotides. RefSeq lists it as uncharacterized. Lineage: Eukaryota; Metazoa; Chordata; Mammalia; Rodentia; Heteromyidae. The transcript is spliced from 2 exons. The record is from RefSeq and is a predicted model, not a curated record.
AUCUGAUGAGUAAUUGGCAAAGACUUUACCCUAUUCUGUAGGUUGUUUUGAUUCUGAUAUUUUUUUUUCUGUGCAGAAGCUGUCUAAUUUGAUACAACCCCAUUUGUCAAUGCUUGCUCUUAUUUCCUGAGCACUUGGAAUUCUAUUCAGAAAGGCUUUACUUAUGCCUAUAUCUUCUAGGGUCUUCCCUAAGUUUUGCUGUAGUAGAUUCAGAGAGAAAGUCAUUUGUAUGUUCUCAUGCAUCAUUUACAUAAUACUUCCUCAUAAAGAGGAAUUCUGGCAUUUUGAAUUGUGUCCACAUGAAUGGGAUGAAUGAAUAGUCUUUGGGACUAGCUUUUUUAAAGCAGUCUUGAACUGUUUACAAAAUGAAACAAGUUUGUCUAGACCAGCAUUUGUUUUAUGCACUAGGCAUUCGUUACUGCCCUUAAGUUUUAGUAGUAUUGCUGUCUUUCUUUCUGGAGGCAAUUUUGACUAAAACAGCAUGCCUUCAAAUAUCAAGUGAAAUACAUCAAAAAGCACCUUAAGAAGCACCUAUUCUGUGCCUGUAUUAUGCAAGACCUGUGUAUGUGCAAAAGAGGUGAUAUGCAGCUGCUGCAUGAGAGGACUUUUGGUCCUCUGUUGACGAAAUCAACCCUAACCGGAUAGAACAGCCAGGGCAUGCAUGCCGCUAUAAAAGUUUGCAGUCUGUCUUCUACUUAAAAAUGGGGUUUGUUCUUAGGCAGGGGUCUAACAAAGUUUUUUUGGAAUACAGCUCUACCUAUUUCAUGCUUUACCAUGAGAGUUGAGUUGUAACGAGUCUACAGAGCCUGUAAUCCUAAAAUAUCUUUCUUUUGACUCUUUAAGAAUGAAUUUGGUGGGG